Molecule: transfer RNA, 72 nt
Filed under: Ornithorhynchus anatinus (platypus)
Lineage: Eukaryota; Metazoa; Chordata; Mammalia; Monotremata; Ornithorhynchidae
Rfam family: tRNA
About the family: Transfer RNA (tRNA) molecules are approximately 80 nucleotides in length. Their secondary structure includes four short double-helical elements and three loops (D, anti-codon, and T loops). Further hydrogen bonds mediate the characteristic L-shaped molecular structure. tRNAs have two regions of fundamental functional importance: the anti-codon, which is responsible for specific mRNA codon recognition, and the 3' end, to which the tRNAs corresponding amino acid is attached (by aminoacyl-tRNA synthetases). tRNAs cope with the degeneracy of the genetic code in two manners: having more than one tRNA (with a specific anti-codon) for a particular amino acid; and 'wobble' base-pairing, i.e. permitting non-standard base-pairing at the 3rd anti-codon position.
Source: Rfam by way of RNAcentral
AGCAGUGUGGCUCAGUGGAAAGAGCACGGGCUUGGGAGUCAGAGAUCAUGGGUUCGAAUCCUGGCUCUGCCA